Molecule: non-coding RNA, 963 nt
Organism: Zonotrichia albicollis (white-throated sparrow)
Lineage: Eukaryota; Metazoa; Chordata; Aves; Passeriformes; Passerellidae
Source: RefSeq, a predicted model, not a curated record
GAGUUGGAGUUUGUUGGUUGUGCUGUGAGGAAGAGUCAGAGCUGCAAGGAGCUACCCAUGAGAAAUCACAGAGAAGCCCCUGGAGUAUUCUCGCAGUAUAAGGAGCUGGAAUUUCAAACCAUGGCAUUUUAUGCAUACCAUCUUCUCUGUGGGGACUGAACUUCAAGACACACAGAAAAUUCUUACAGCUUCCAGAAUCUACUGGAUCUCAGCAGAGUAUCCCAGCUCCUAGCCAUUUACAGAGGAGUGGUGUUUCUGCAGUUCAAUGCAGCAAUCAGGCAUCAAUUAUGUAAAAACAAAAUCAUAAGAACACCACCACUGGAUAAAUCUGUGCUGACAAGCCUACGCAGUUCUGGUCUCCACCUGAGGAGGGAGAGAGAACUCUGGAAGGUUCCCAAAGAGCCACAUGGAUGGUGAAAGGUUGCUGGGUGGAACAAGAGGUACAACUGGGAGCCUUGUAAAAUUGUCAGUCAAGGUGAGGGGAUAAACAAGGAGUGUUUGCUCACAGUCUUUUCCAGUCUAAGGUGCGAAGGUGAGCAGCAGAUAUCCAGCUCUCAACAACAAUAACAACAACAAUAAGGUGUUUCUUGCACAUAGCCUGUAAUUAGGCUGUGGGAUUUCUUCCUGCAUUGUGCCGCAGGUGGUGAAAGUUUAUAGGACUCAGAGGGAGCCUGCACAGGCUCAUGGAAAAAAAAUUACCAAGAUUAAACAUUCAGCAGUCAUGUCUGGCUGAGAAAAUGCCUGAGGAGGCCGUGAGAACAUCAGUGGGAAAUACCAUCAUAUGCUUGUUCUGGAGAUUUUUGUAAUCUUCUCAAGAGUCUGCUUUUGAUCACUGUGGGAGGCAGGACUCUGAGCUGAUGGACCUUUGCUCUGACCCAGUAUGAUCAUGCUUGUGCUAUCCAGUGGAGUUGCAUGUAAUUGUAGACUGAGGACUUUUCUGCAGAUUUGCAUGGAGAUAAAACU